ACGGGGGCCCGCCCCCGGGGGCAAAUCUCUCAUUUCCGCUCUGGCGGCUGGCGGGAGAGUGAGGUCAGAGUGACUUCAGUCGCAGCUCCUCCCAAGGUCUGUGAGGGACCCGGCUCCCCGAGGUGAGGGCGGGGCGGGCCGCGGGGGUGGGGCUGCUGACCCAGCACCUGGGGGUUUNAAGAUCGCCUCGAGGGCACCCCCUCUCCCUAACCCCGAACUUUUCGCCUCCAGCCUGCACCCAAACCCAGCUCAGACCUCCGUGCUCACCCCUGUCCUCUCUCCAGCAUCCUGGGGCAGGCUUCCCUGAACCAGAACCAGAACUGGGCCGGGCCUAGUAAGAACCUGAGGCUUUUGACCUUCCGGCGUGUCUGUCCCAUAUUACUAGAACUGAACUUGUGCCUUGUGCCUUCAUUUCAUUCAUAGCGAUCCUCCCCAUCCUCCUAUGGGUUGCUCCCCAGCCUGAGAUGGGCCAGCUGCACUACACCGCGAAGCACCCUGUUCUCUCCCAAGCUUCUUAAGGCCACUCAGACCCUGAUGUUUAUUCCCACACCCCAGGAAAAUGACACACUCUGUAUUUCUGUUUUAUUUAUAAAUGAUUUAAAAAACAUUAUACAAAGGCUGAUCAGUUUAAAAUGUGACCGACACUGAAAUGCUGUGAUAUUCCCCCUGGCUGAGGAGAAGCUGGGCUCUGGGGCCAUCAGCACUUUGCCCCUCUGUCUGACUGCCCUGUCCUGGGGUGAUGGACACACAGAUGACCACAGGCAGGAGUAUCCCAGAUUGGAAGCCUCUAGGCUGAGCCCUCUCUGGGCCUGGCUUCAUAUCCCUCACUUCUGCAGCCUGGGCUGCCUGCCUCCAUCCCCUGCUCUUUGACAGCUGGCCUUGUUCCAGGAGCCAGCAAGGAGCCUGGGGGGCGGGGGUGGGGGGUGGGCACGGCUAGAGCUUUCAAUAAGCGAGAGCACCAACCUGAGGAGUGGAGAGGGAUUGGGGUGGGAGAUGGGCAGGAAGAGAUGGACAGAGGAGACACUUAUCUCAGACCCAAAAGGGGUCCACAGAUGGGGAACACAAGACCCAGCCAGCUCAUAGGAUGACUUGGUCAAGUAACAGCCUCUCUGUGCUUCAUCUGAGGGCAUGAUGAGAGUUACCCUUGGCCUCCCAGGGCCUACACGAGUUUCAUGUGAGUGGACAGGUGUGAGCUAAUAAAGUGCUUUGCAAAGUAUAAAACACUGUACAAACCUAUGAAUCACUAAUAUCUCUGCAGUUGUUCCCUGCCUGCCCCAGGGAGCCUGCCCUUGGCCAAAAUGAGAAAAAACAGGAUGAUGAUGACUGGGGACACAGUGGACCCACAAAAGUGCCUCUGGGACAAGAGAUUUUACUCAAGACACUUCCCAGGGCAGCAGGAGUCCCUGUCAGUGCUACAGGAUAAGCCGAACCAAAGCCCAGAGGUCACAGGGUGGGGGCAAGGCCCAUGCAGGCUCAGAGGACAGGAGUGGCAUCUUGGACCCUGCCAGCACCCUGAAGACUGCCUAACACCUCUUUUUGGCUUUGGCAGAGAGCCACUGCACCCAUUGGUCUUGCCUAGGGUUCCUCAGUGACAAGCAGGGCUGCUUCUGCCAGAUUGUAGCAAGGCUAGCAGAGCUGGAAACUCCUGCCAGACAUGAAGGGUAGGUCUAAGAAGGUCAGAAAGGGAGGCCCCUAGGCUUGGGGCUGCUACCAUUUGGGGGUGCCCUUUUCCUAAGAGCAAUGCAGAAGAUGGGCCCAGUGAGCUGGGUUUCCAGGGCCAAGUUCAAGGCCUAAAUACCGCUUCUGGACUGAGAAUUUGAGUUGCCUUAAUAUAGCUGGGGGUAUGGGCACUGAGUGCUUCAGAAGGCUGCCUGGGGCCCCUUACUC
This 1887-nucleotide long non-coding RNA is filed under the name Marmota monax (woodchuck). Lineage: Eukaryota; Metazoa; Chordata; Mammalia; Rodentia; Sciuridae. The record is from RNAcentral.